GUCGUGCUUGAGGGUGAGCCUUUU
Molecule: microRNA, 24 nt
Filed under: Eptesicus fuscus (big brown bat)
Lineage: Eukaryota; Metazoa; Chordata; Mammalia; Chiroptera; Vespertilionidae
Description: efu-miR-9260
Source: miRBase by way of RNAcentral